RNAcentral lists this unclassified non-coding RNA (21 nucleotides) under Mus musculus (house mouse). RNAcentral describes it as "oocyte_clustered_small_RNA3800". Lineage: Eukaryota; Metazoa; Chordata; Mammalia; Rodentia; Muridae. The record is from RNAcentral.
GGUCAAGGGUCACAGUUAGGC